Molecule: small nuclear RNA, 333 nt
Filed under: Erinaceus europaeus (western European hedgehog)
Lineage: Eukaryota; Metazoa; Chordata; Mammalia; Eulipotyphla; Erinaceidae
Description: 7SK RNA
Rfam family: 7SK RNA
About the family: 7SK was discovered as an abundant small nuclear RNA in the mid-70s but a possible function has only recently been suggested.
Source: Rfam by way of RNAcentral
GUACGUUCCUGAGAAGAGGCAUCUCCACACUAGCCUGGCACCAUUGAUCACCAGGGUUGAUUCCACUGAUUUGGCUGGGUAGGCAGGUGUCUCCUUCAUCCCUCACCACUCCAUGUGUGGCCCUCCUGAAGCUGCAAGCUUGGUAGAAGAGGAUGACUUUCCCUGAAUAGACUUGACCGCUCUUUGGUUGAGGGUCUAGGAGUAGCUGCAUUCCCAUGCUAGAACUUCUAAACAAGUUCUUACAAAUAUUUCUCUGUCUCCCCACUUUUGUAUCAGUUUAAUACCGUUCCAUAUCAUUGAUUUCAACUUUCCUUUAGUUAAGGUGAUUUCAGU